CUGGGUGUGGCUCAGUGGGUAGAGCGCUUGCCUGGCAUGCAGGAAGCCCUGGGUUCCAUCCCCAGCCCACAUA
This 73-nucleotide transfer RNA is filed under the name Mus musculus (house mouse). It matches the Rfam family "tRNA". Rfam says of the family: Transfer RNA (tRNA) molecules are approximately 80 nucleotides in length. Their secondary structure includes four short double-helical elements and three loops (D, anti-codon, and T loops). RNAcentral also lists the same sequence under 1 other name. The record is from Rfam by way of RNAcentral. Lineage: Eukaryota; Metazoa; Chordata; Mammalia; Rodentia; Muridae.